AGUGAACGCUGGCGGUAGGCCUAACACAUGCAAGUCGAACGGCAGCACAGUAAGAGCUUGCUCUUACGGGUGGCGAGUGGCGGACGGGUGAGGAAUACAUCGGAAUCUACUUUUUCGUGGGGGAUAACGUAGGGAAACUUACGCUAAUACCGCAUACGACCUACGGGUGAAAGCAGGGGAUCUUCGGACCUUGCGCGAUUGAAUGAGCCGAUGUCGGAUUAGCUAGUUGGCGGGGUAAAGGCCCACCAAGGCGACGAUCCGUAGCUGGUCUGAGAGGAAGAGUAGCCACACUGGAAAUGAGCCACGGUCCAGACUCCUAAGGGCGGCAGUAUAUGGGAAUAUUGGAAAAAGGGUGGAAGACUAAACCAGCCAAUCCGCGUGAGUGAAGAAGGCCUUCCGGUUUUAAAGACCUUUUGUUGGGAAAGAAAAGCAGCAGGUUAAUACCCCGCUGUUCUGACGGUACCCAAAGAAUAAGCACCGGCUAACUUCGUG
RNAcentral lists this ribosomal RNA (492 nucleotides) under uncultured bacterium. RNAcentral describes it as "partial 16S ribosomal RNA". It matches the Rfam family "Bacterial small subunit ribosomal RNA", at positions 29 to 507 of the family's 1533-position model. The record is from RNAcentral.